GCCCCCGUAGCUCAGCUGGAUAGAGCAGCGGUUUCCUAAACCGUUGGCCGCCCGUUCAAGUCGGGCCGGGGGUA
Molecule: transfer RNA, 74 nt
Filed under: Candidatus Zixiibacteriota bacterium
Lineage: Bacteria; Pseudomonadati; Candidatus Zixiibacteriota
Description: tRNA-Arg
Rfam family: tRNA
About the family: Transfer RNA (tRNA) molecules are approximately 80 nucleotides in length. Their secondary structure includes four short double-helical elements and three loops (D, anti-codon, and T loops).
Source: RNAcentral